AUGCGCUCACACACACACACACUCAAGUCACCACAAGAAUGGCAAGAGGGGACAGGCUCGCAGCUAGAGACCAUUUCAUCUGUAGGUCAUGUGUGUAACAGUUUAACAGUCCUCCACCCACCACACCCUUACAGAGCCGCAGCUGACGACCCAAGGGCUCAAGGAUGCACCGGGAUGGGACACUUCCUGGUCCCUAAUGGAAUCCACAGGCACACAGUGACCUCAGUCCAACACAGUCCCCCUCACUGCCUGCCUGGAUCAGAUAGGCCCUUGCCAGAGAUAUUAGAGAAAGUAGGAGAUAGAAAUCCCAUUGGGAAAUGAAUGGAGAGACGUACAACGCCCCACCCAGCAGACUGUCGACCAAUCACGUUCACGUUGUCAUGCUGCGUCACGUAGUUGGUAAGCUAAUCAUCAUGCAAUCCCUUCUCAAAGUCAGGGUAUGAGUCUAUUUUCCUUGAAAGUACAUAAUAUCAUGAUUCCAAAGCUAUACGAUAUUACAUAGAACAAGUUAAUUAUCUCACAUCUUCUUGUUCACAAAAUUCAUGCUAAUGUUGUUUUUAUGAGCUAGCGCCCAAUUGACUCCCAGUCACUUUUCUUCUUAUUUUGUAUCAUGGCGUUUGCACAUUUUGUUUGUGCAUGCCGCCACCUACUGUGUUGUAGUGUGUGGUCGAUCACGUAGCCUACAUUUUGUGAUACAAAAAUAAAAAAAUGCACCACCAACUAACAUCUACAGUGGCAAGAAAAAGUAUGUGAACCCUUUGGAAUUACCUGUACUUCUGCAUAAACUGGUCAAAAAAAUGUGAUCUGAUCUUCAUCUAUGUCACAACAAUAGACAAACACAGUCUGCUUAAACUAAUAACCAACAAACAAUUUUACAUUUUCAUGUCUUUAUUGAACCCCCGUGUAAACAUUCACAGUGCAGGGUGGGAAAAGUAUGUGAACCCUUGGAUUUAGUAACUGGUUGACCCUCCGUUGGCAAUAAUAUCCUCAACCAAAAUGUUUUCUGUAGUUGCGGAUCAGACCUGCACAAUGGUCAGGAGGAAUUUUCGACCAUUCCUCUUUACAAAACUGUUUCAGUUCAGCAAUAUUCUUGGGAUGUCUGGUGUGAACCGCUCUCUUGAUGUCAUGCACCGUAAUCUCUAUCGGGUCGAGGUCAGGACUCUGACUGGACCACUCCAGAAGGCUUAUGUUCUUCUGUUGAAACCCUUCUGUUGUUGAUAUACUUCUGUGUUUUGGGUCGUUGUCCUGUUGCAUCACCCAACUUCUGUUGAGUUUCAAUUGGCGGACAGAUAGCCUAACAUUCUCCUGCAAAAUGUCUUGAUAAACUUGGGAAUUCAUUUUUCCAUUGAUGAUAGUCAGCUGUCCAGGCCCUGAGGCAGCAAAGCAGCCCCAAAUUAUGAUGCUCCCUUCACUAUACUUUACGGUUGGGAUGAGGUUUUGAUGUUGGUGUGCUGUGCCUUUUUUUCUCCACACAUAGUGUUGUGUGUUCCUUCCAAACAACUCAACUUUAGUUUCAUCUGUCCACAUGAUAUUUUGCCAGUAGCACUGUGGAACAUCCAGAUGCUCUUUUGCAAACUUCAGAUGUGCAGCAAUGGUUUUUUUGGA
Molecule: long non-coding RNA, 1605 nt
Filed under: Oncorhynchus mykiss (rainbow trout)
Lineage: Eukaryota; Metazoa; Chordata; Actinopteri; Salmoniformes; Salmonidae
Description: lncRNA (ENSOMYG00000063841.1)
Source: RNAcentral